GAUGAAGAACGCAGCGAAAUGCGAUAAGUAAUGUGAAUUGCAGAAUUCAGUGAACCAUCGAAUCUUUGAACGCACAUUGCGCCCGGCAGUAAUCUGCCGGGCAUGCCUGUCCGAGCGUCAUUUCUCCCCUCGAGCGCAGCUUUUCCCCCCGGGGGAGGGCCGCGCCCGGUGUUGGGGCGCUACGGAGGAGCCCAGCGCUCCCCCGUAGGCCCCGAAAUGUAGUGGCGGUCCCGCCGCGGCGCCCCCUGCGUAGUAGUUUUACAACUCGCAUCGGGUCCCGGCGGAGGCCAGCCGUCAAACCCCCCAACUUCAAUAGUUUGACCUCGGAUCAGGUAGGGUUACCCGCUGAACUUAAGCAUAUCAAUAAGCGGAGGA
RNAcentral lists this unclassified non-coding RNA (375 nucleotides) under soil metagenome. RNAcentral describes it as "partial contains 5.8S ribosomal RNA, internal transcribed spacer 2, and large subunit ribosomal RNA". The stretch from base 1 to 120 matches the Rfam family "5.8S ribosomal RNA", at positions 35 to 154 of the family's 154-position model. The record is from RNAcentral.